GUCCACACCGUAAACGCUGUCUACUAGCUGUUUGUGUAUUUAAUACGUGAGUAGCGAAGCUAACGCGCUAAGUAGACCGCCUGGGGAGUACGGCCGCAAGGUUAAAACUCAAAUGAAUUGACGGGGGCCCGCACAAGCGGUGGAGCAUGUGGUUUAAUUCGAUGCAACGCGAAGAACCUUACCUACACUUGACAUCCAGAGAACUUACCAGAGAUGGUUUGGUGCCUUCGGGAACUCUGAGACAGGUGCUGCAUGGCU
This 258-nucleotide ribosomal RNA is filed under the name uncultured bacterium. RNAcentral describes it as "partial 16S ribosomal RNA". It matches the Rfam family "Bacterial small subunit ribosomal RNA", at positions 793 to 1050 of the family's 1533-position model. The record is from RNAcentral.